GACAGAGGGUGCAAGCGUUGUUCGGAAUUACUGGGCGUAAAGGGCUCGUAGGCGGCCAACUAAGUCAUACGUGAAAUCCCUCGGCUUAACCGGGGAACUGCGUCUGAUACUGGAUGGCUUGAGAUUGGGAGAGGGAUGCGGAAUUCCAGGUGUAGCGGUGAAAUGCGUAGAUAUCUGGAGGAACACCGGUGGCGAAGGCGGCAUCCUGGACCAACACUGACGCUGAGGAGCGAAAGCCAGGGGAGCAAACGGG
Molecule: ribosomal RNA, 253 nt
Filed under: uncultured bacterium
Lineage: Bacteria
Description: partial 16S ribosomal RNA
Rfam family: Bacterial small subunit ribosomal RNA
Source: RNAcentral